UACGUAGGGGGCAAGCGUUGUCCGGAAUCAUUGGGCGUAAAGAGCGUGUAGGCGGCCAGAAAAGUCCGCUGUGAAAACUCGAGGCUCAACUUCGAGCUGUCGGUGGAAACUUUCUGGCUAGAGUCCGGAAGAGGAGAAUGGAAUUCCUGGUGUAGCGGUGGAAUGCGCAGAUAUCAGGAAGAACACCGACGGCGAAGGCAGCUCGCUGGGACGGUACUGACGCUGAGACGCGAAGGCGUGGGGAGCGAACAGG
Molecule: ribosomal RNA, 253 nt
Filed under: uncultured bacterium
Lineage: Bacteria
Description: partial 16S ribosomal RNA
Rfam family: Bacterial small subunit ribosomal RNA
Source: RNAcentral